RNAcentral lists this ribosomal RNA (457 nucleotides) under Neisseria flavescens. RNAcentral's name for it is "bacterial SSU rRNA". It matches the Rfam family "Bacterial small subunit ribosomal RNA", at positions 30 to 474 of the family's 1533-position model. The record is from RNAcentral. Lineage: Bacteria; Pseudomonadati; Pseudomonadota; Betaproteobacteria; Neisseriales; Neisseriaceae.
AUUGAACGCUGGCGGCAUGCUUUACACAUGCAAGGCGGACGGCAGCACAGAGAAGCUUGCUUCUUGGGUGGCGAGUGGCGAACGGGUGAGUAAUAUAUCGGAACGUACCGAGUAAUGGGGGAUAACUAAUCGAAAGAUUAGCUAAUACCGCAUAUUCUCUGAGGAGGAAAGCAGGGGACCUUCGGGCCUUGCGUUAUUUGAGCGGCCGAUAUCUGAUUAGCUAGUUGGUGGGGUAAAGGCCUACCAAGGCGACGAUCAGUAGCGGGUCUGAGAGGAUGAUCCGCCACACUGGGACUGAGACACGGCCCAGACUCCUACGGGAGGCAGCAGUGGGGAAUUUUGGACAAUGGGCGCAAGCCUGAUCCAGCCAUGCCGCGUGUCUGAAGAAGGCCUUCGGGUUGUAAAGGACUUUUGUCAGGGAAGAAAAGGCUGUUGCUAAUAUCGACAGCUGAUGACG